RNAcentral lists this ribosomal RNA (506 nucleotides) under uncultured bacterium. RNAcentral describes it as "partial 16S ribosomal RNA". It matches the Rfam family "Bacterial small subunit ribosomal RNA", at positions 30 to 523 of the family's 1533-position model. The record is from RNAcentral.
AUUGAACGCUGGCGGCAGGCCUAACACAUGCAAGUCGAACGGUAACAGGAAACAGCUUGCUGUUUCGCUGACGAGUGGCGGACGGGUGAGUAAUGUCUGGGAAACUGCCUGAUGGAGGGGGAUAACUACUGGAAACGGUAGCUAAUACCGCAUAACGUCGCAAGACCAAAGCGGGGGACCUUCGGGCCUCUUGCCAUCGGAUGUGCCCAGAUGGGAUUAGCUAGUAGGUGGGGUAACGGCUCACCUGGGCGACGAUGCCUAGCUGGUCUGAGAGGAUGACCAGCGACACUGGAACUGAGACACGGUCCAGACUCCUACGGGAGGCAGCAGUGGGGAAUAUUGCACAAUGGGCGCAAGCCUGAUGCAGCCAUGCCGCGUGUAUGAAGAAGGCCUUCGGGUUGUAAAGUACUUUCAGCGGGGAGGAAGGGAGUAAAGUUAAUACCUUUGCUCAUUGACGUUACCCGCAGAAGAAGCGCCGGCUAACUCCGUGCCAGCCGCCGCCGUAA